GACGAACGCUGGCGGCGUGCUUAACACAUGCAAGUCGAACGGUGAACCUCUUCGGAGGGGAUCAGUGGCGAACGGGUGAGUAACACGUGGGCAACCUGCCCCCGGCUCUGGGAUAACUCCAAGAAAUUGGGGCUAAUACCGGAUGUUCACCGCUUCCCGCAUGGGUGGUGGUGGAAAGGGUUUCCGGCUGGGGAUGGGCCCGCGGCCUAUCAGCUUGUUGGUGGGGUAGUGGCCUACCAAGGCGACGACGGGUAGCCGGCCUGAGAGGGUGACCGGCCACACUGGGACUGAGACACGGCCCAGACUCCUACGGGAGGCAGCAGUGGGGAAUAUUGCGCAAUGGGCGGAAGCCUGACGCAGCGACGCCGCGUGGGGGAUGACGGCCUACGGGUUGUAAACCUCUUUCAGCAGGGACGAAGCGCAAGUGACGGUACCUGCAGAAGAAGCACCGGCCAACUACGUG
Molecule: ribosomal RNA, 463 nt
Filed under: uncultured bacterium
Lineage: Bacteria
Description: partial 16S ribosomal RNA
Rfam family: Bacterial small subunit ribosomal RNA
Source: RNAcentral